UGGGGAAUUUUGCGCAAUGGGCGGAAGCCUGACGCAGCAACGCCGCGUGGGGGAGGACGGCCUUCGGGUUGUAAACCUCUUUCGGUUCUGACGAAGCUCUGCGUGUUCGUGGGGUGACGGUAGGGGCAGAAGAAGCACCGGCUAACUACGUG
This 152-nucleotide ribosomal RNA is filed under the name uncultured Saccharomonospora sp. RNAcentral's name for it is "partial 16S ribosomal RNA". It matches the Rfam family "Bacterial small subunit ribosomal RNA", at positions 355 to 507 of the family's 1533-position model. The record is from RNAcentral. Lineage: Bacteria; Bacillati; Actinomycetota; Actinomycetes; Pseudonocardiales; Pseudonocardiaceae.